UGCAGUCGAGCGGCUGGAUUAAGAACCUGGCUCUAUGAGUGGCGAGUGGGAGAGGGGAGUAGAAUAUGGGUAACUCGCCCUUUUCAUGGGGAAUACUCCAGGGAACCUUGGCCUAAACCGGAAAACAAUUUGAAGCUGAAGGCUCGGAAUUGUCGGGCCUUGUCCGAUGUCAUGUACCGAUGGACCCGCAUCUCAUUGGCGGGGUGGUGGCGUAACGGCGCAACAAUGCAACGAUGCGUAGCCAAGAUGAUAGGGUGAUCGGCCACUGAGAGACUGACACAACGCCCACACUCCGACGGGAUGCGGAAUUUUGGAAUCUGCCCCCAUGCACGAACCUCCGACAGAGCAUGGCCGCGUGAGGGAUGAAGGCUUUCGGGUCCUAUUACUCUGUUGUAAGGGAAGAACGCUUGCUACUUGAAGGGACUGGCGCCUUGACGGUACCUACCCCGAAAGCCUCGGCGAACUACGUGCCGGCAACCGCGGUGGUGCGUACGUUGCACGCGUUAUCCGGAAUUAUUGGGCGUAUAGCUCGCGCAUGUGGUUUCUUAUGUCUGAUGUGAGAGCCCACGGCUCACCCGUGUAGGGUCAUUGGAAACUGGGAGACUUGAAUGCAAAAGAAGAUCGUGGAAUUCCAUGUGUAUCGGUAAAAUGCGUAGAGGAUAUGGAGGAACACCAGUGGCUAACGCGACUUUCUCGUCUGUAACUGACACUGAGGCGUGAAAGCGUGCGGAACUAAAUAGACUAGAUACCCUGGUCCUCCACGCCGUAAACUAUAGUGCUGUGUGUUUUAGGGUUUCCUCCCUUUACUGCUGAAUUUAACUCACUAACCACUCCACCAGGGGA
RNAcentral lists this ribosomal RNA (843 nucleotides) under uncultured bacterium. RNAcentral describes it as "bacterial SSU rRNA". It matches the Rfam family "Bacterial small subunit ribosomal RNA", at positions 56 to 879 of the family's 1533-position model. The record is from RNAcentral.